AUAAAAUGUUAGUAAGGAUAGAGAAGACAAUAAUAGAUUUUAAAUACAUAAAAUAUACAAAGAAUAUUGAAUACAGCAAUUAGUGAAAUACUAAACAAUUCUAAAAACUGAAAAGGUUAUAGAAAUAGCCUCAGAAAAUUACAAAGAGCUGGAAUGAAAGAUAAUGUACUUUUAAUGAUGCAUUUAGAAAUUAGAAAUAUUUUUAAAAUAUAACUAUAAUGGACAAAGAAAUGUGGUAUAAAAUACAUAAUGGAAUACUAUUGGGCCUGAAAAAAAAGAAGGAAAUUGUGUCAUAUGUGACAACUUGGAUGG
This 312-nucleotide long non-coding RNA is filed under the name Marmota monax (woodchuck). The record is from RNAcentral. Lineage: Eukaryota; Metazoa; Chordata; Mammalia; Rodentia; Sciuridae.